GACGAACGCUGGCGGCGUGCCUAAUACAUGCAAGUAGAGCGCACAGUUUAUACCGUAGCUUGCUACACCAUAGACUGUGAGUUGCGAACGGGUGAGUAACGCGUAGGUAACCUGCCUGGUAGCGGGGGAUAACUAUUGGAAACGAUAGCUAAUACCGCAUAAUAUUGAUUAUUGCAUGAUAAUUGAUUGAAAGAUGCUAUUGCAUCACUACCAGACGGACCUGCGUUGUAUUAGCUAGUAGGUGAGGUAACGGCUCACCUAGGCGACGAUACAUAGCCGACCUGAGAGGGUGAUCGGCCACACUGGGACUGAGACACGGCCCAGACGCCUACGGGAGGCAGCAGGAGGGAAUCUUCGGCAAUGGACGAAAGUCUGACCGAGCAACGCCGCGUGAGUGAAGAAGGGUUUCGGAUCGUAAAGCUCUGUUGUAAGAGAAGAACGGGUGUGAGAGUGGAAAGUUCACACUGUGACGGUAUCUUACCAGAAAGGGACGGCUAACUACGUG
This 505-nucleotide ribosomal RNA is filed under the name uncultured bacterium. RNAcentral describes it as "partial 16S ribosomal RNA". It matches the Rfam family "Bacterial small subunit ribosomal RNA", at positions 28 to 507 of the family's 1533-position model. The record is from RNAcentral.